GGGCGCGUAGCUCAGUUGGAAUGAGCGCUACCUUGACACGGUAGAGGUCAUCGGUUCGAUCCCGGUCGCGCCCA
RNAcentral lists this transfer RNA (74 nucleotides) under Acidobacteriota bacterium. Its description in RNAcentral is "Acidobacteria bacterium (sediment metagenome) tRNA-Val". It matches the Rfam family "tRNA". From Rfam's summary of the family: Transfer RNA (tRNA) molecules are approximately 80 nucleotides in length. Their secondary structure includes four short double-helical elements and three loops (D, anti-codon, and T loops). Further hydrogen bonds mediate the characteristic L-shaped molecular structure. tRNAs have two regions of fundamental functional importance: the anti-codon, which is responsible for specific mRNA codon recognition, and the 3' end, to which the tRNAs corresponding amino acid is attached (by aminoacyl-tRNA synthetases). tRNAs cope with the degeneracy of the genetic code in two manners: having more than one tRNA (with a specific anti-codon) for a particular amino acid; and 'wobble' base-pairing, i.e. permitting non-standard base-pairing at the 3rd anti-codon position. The record is from RNAcentral. RNAcentral also lists the same sequence under 2 other names. Lineage: Bacteria; Pseudomonadati; Acidobacteriota.